AUAUCACUAAGCGGAGGAAAAGAAAUUAACUAAGAUUGCCUCAGUAACGGCGAGUGAAGCGGCAAAAGCCCAAACUGGAAAUCUUUACACUGUGUGUAACGAAUUGUAAUCUACAGGUGAGACACUCAGCGGAUGGGGAUGCAGAAGUGGCCUAGAAUGGUCCGCCAGAGAGGGUGACAGCCCCGUAUGUGGUAUCGCCGUCUAACGAGUGCUUACUGAAGAGUCGGGUAGUUUUUGGAAUUACUGCCCUAAGUGGGGGAUAGACUUCCUCUAAGGCUAAAUACAAAUGGGAGACCGAUAGCGCACAAGUA
This 311-nucleotide ribosomal RNA is filed under the name uncultured eukaryote. Its description in RNAcentral is "partial large subunit ribosomal RNA". It matches the Rfam family "Eukaryotic large subunit ribosomal RNA", at positions 40 to 350 of the family's 3401-position model. The record is from RNAcentral.